GUCGGCCCGAGCUGGCGCAGGCGCAGUGGCUGGUGCCGGUUGCUCCAGGCGGCGUCAGGGUGAGGUGGCGGUCAGGGCUUCGGAUGCGGCUUCCUGGGUCUUCCGUGCGCUGUUCUCCAGGGUCAGAAUUCGGCAGGAAGAAAAGAAGGGGCGGGCCAAGUGGGAAAAAAGGGCGAGCUCACGUGGUUGUACUGCUGGCUUCUACUUCUGUUUCAGGCUGACUUCUUUGUAAGCAUAAUCCUCGGACAAAUACGAAGCAGUUGUUUAAAAAGAAAAGACCGGGGAGCAAAGUAUUGGAUUCUAGUUCUGGCUCUGAAACAACGUUUUAUGGUCUUUGGUAAGUCUGGAUCUUAGUUUCCUCCAAAAUAAAAUGAGAGGGGAUGCAUUAAAUUUGCUCUCGUUCUGUCAUUACAUGCAUGAAUCUGUGAUGUUUUCUGGUAGAGCAUAAGGAGAAGGAAAUGGUACAUUCUCUGUGAGCCACUUUAAACCAAGAAGUUAUAUCUUUGUAGCCUUAGUACUUUAUUACAAUGUCUAUCAGUAACCACUGAUGAAAUUUGUGUUUGGGAUCCCAAAGACCCAGAUUUGAAUACAGUUACUGGUACUGACUUUUGGUAACUGAGCAAAUAGGAUUCAAAGCACCUUCAGAUCCUCCUCUGCAAAAAACCUAGAAGGAGAUUUACAACAACCUUACACCUCUUCAGAAUUAAUGACUAUGGGAAAACAUCCAGUUGUGCAGACUAAAGAACUGUGUUGGUUUCAAGAUCCUGGAUUAUCCCAGUUUACUAAAACUCACUUCUUAGGCAGAUGCAGGAUGAACAUGUAUUGCUUGCCCUAAUCUUAGACAAAAGCCAUCUAGAAUAGACUGUGAUUCUUUCAUCUGCUUUACUUUGUGAUGAGAUUGUCCUGAAACCUUUAGCCUGGUACGGUGAUUCCUUCUGGCUAAUACAAUUAUCAAACAGGUCUUGCUGCCUUACUUGGCAAGAAACCAGUUUAAGAGCCCACUUGUUUCCUUUCUACAAACCAGGUUGGAGGCAAGUGUCUCAUUCUGGCAGCUGAAAUCCAGCAGAAAUCCUUAGAGAACCAUAUCAUAAAGCCUCAUUCUCUUUUAGCUGAUUAAAAAAAGAAGGGAUGCCUUGGUAGCUCAGUGGUUGAGAGCCUGCCUUCGGCCCAGGGUGUGAUACUGGAGUCACGGGAUCGAGUCCCACAUCCAGCUACUGUGGAAAGCCUGCUUCUCCCUCUGCCUGUGUCUCCACCUCUCUCUGUGUGUCUCUCAUGAAUAAAUAAAAUCUUUAAAACAAAACAAAGAAUAUAAAUGUACAGCCCACAUACCUGGUGUGUUAUGAUCCCUUUAUUCCUUAGUCAAUAAAAAAUUCAUUCAUACUAUUGCUCAUCUUUAAAAAAUAUAUAUCAGAACGUUUCAGAGACAUUUAACCAUUUGUAAUUAUAAAUUAAGUCAUUUUCUUUUCCCCUCACCCUCUACAUUAGUGAGAUUCUGGGUUGGCACUCCAAAGACCGUUCUGGCCUACAUAUUUCCUGGGCCAUUUCUUCUACCUGGUGAGAUAAAAAGCAAGUAAAGGCAGUUUCCCUAUCAAGAGCGGUUGCUGCUUUGAAAAAGUCCUUAGGGUCAAAUCUCUGGCAACCUGACUCUGAAGCCUGCCCAGUUCAGAGAGGGUCUGGGAGAAAGAGUCAGUUUGCUGCCCUCUACAGGCUGCACUCAGUGAGCUUCGAUUGUUUAGAGGAAGAAUGGAGGAGUCCUUAAGUAUCUGAAAAGAAAUGAAACAGGUUAAUGCUGAGUAAGCCGAGAGUGGGUAAUGAUGGUGAACAUCAGCCAACCACUGAAAAAACCACAGCAUUUAGGGCAUGUAAGGAUGGUCAACGUAUCUUGUUAAAUGAAAAUGGGAUGCGCUAAAAUAUGCAUAGCUUGAUUUGAUUUUUGUAAAAACAUUUAGUUAUACCAGAAUGUUAAGUUUCGGUUAUCCUGGUGGUGAAAUAACGGGUAAUUUGUAUUAUAUUCUUUUUACUUAUCUGUAUCAUCUAAACAUUCUACAAUAAAUAUGUAUUAUUCUAGUAAUAACCUAGUUUAAAAAGUGUGUAUGUUGGGGCACCUAAGUGGCUCAGUUGGUUGAGCCUCCAACUAUUGAUCUUGGCUCAGGUCUUAUCUCAAGGUUGUGGGCACGCUAAGCAUGGAGCCUACUACUUUAAAAAAAGUGUGUGCAAAGGGGGCUUCUUUGGUGCUAGUCUAGUAGUAUUCUGUUCCUUCAUCAAGAUGCUAUGUGUCUUCAUCAAGCUGUCCACUUAUAGUACAUGCACUUCUCUGCAUGUAUAGUAUACUUCAAUUUAAAAUUGUUCUUAAAGAGUGGUUGUACAGGAACUUUCAUUCAUUGGUGGGAAUCCAAAAUGAUACAGCCACUUUGGAAGGCAGUUUAGCAGCUGCAUACAAAACUAAACAUAGUUUUAUCGUGCAAUUCAUCCAUCUUGCUCUUUGGUACCUACCCAAAUGAAUUGAAAACUUAGGCCCACAUAAGUUCUCUACUCCUCAAAAACACACACACGUUUACAGCAACUUAAUAAUUGCCAAAGACUUGGAAACAACCAAGAUGUCAGGAGGUGAAUGAUAAAUACUGUGUGAGUGUACAGGGCAAAGGAGACUAUGGGAACACUCUGUACUUUCUGCUCAGUUUUAGUGUGAACCUAAAACUCUUCUAAAAAUUAAAGUCUCUUUUUAAAAACUGGUUGUACGUCUCUUGGAAUAUACUAAAAACUAUUGAAUUGUACAUAUUAAAUAAGUAAACUGUAUGGUUUGUGAACUCUAUAUCUCAAUAAAGCUUUUUAAGUGGUUAUAUUCAUAAAGUAGAUAAAAAGUACCAACACAUGCUACAAUAUGGAUGAAUCUUGAAAUUACACCAAGUGGAGCAGCCAGGCACAAAAGGCCACAUAUUACAUGAAAUGUCUAGAAUAGGCAGAAAUAGAGUAGUUGUUGGCAGGGACUGGGGAGUGGUGGUGGGGAUGGGGAAUGGGGAGUGACUGCUAAUGGGUAUAAGGUUUCUUCUUGGGAUGAUGAAAAUAUUCUGGAAUUAGUGGUGAAAAUGUACAAUUUUCUGAGUGUACUAUAAAGCAACUUAAUUGUAUACUUCAAAAGGGUGGAGUUAUGUCUCAAUAAAGCUGAGUGUGGAGCCUACUUAAA
This is a long non-coding RNA of Canis lupus familiaris (dog), 3184 nucleotides long. RefSeq lists it as uncharacterized. The transcript is spliced from 2 exons. NCBI's taxonomy places the organism in Eukaryota, Metazoa, Chordata, Mammalia, Carnivora, Canidae. The record is from RefSeq and is a predicted model, not a curated record.